Molecule: ribosomal RNA, 253 nt
Filed under: uncultured bacterium
Lineage: Bacteria
Description: partial 16S ribosomal RNA
Rfam family: Bacterial small subunit ribosomal RNA
Source: RNAcentral
UACAGAGGUCUCAAGCGUUGUUCGGAUUCAUUGGGCGUAAAGGGCGCGUAGGCUGCGGGGCAAGUCGGGUGUGAAAUCUCAGAGCUCAACUCCGAAACUGCAUUCGAUACUGCCGUGCUUGAGGACUGGAGAGGAGACUGGAAUUUACGGUGUAGCGGUGAAAUGCGUAGAUAUCAGGAGGAACACCGGUGGCGAAGGCGGCUUGCUGGGCCAGUUCUGACGCUGAGGAGCGAAAGCGUGGGGAGCGAACAGG